UACGUAGGGGCGAGCGUUAUCCGGAAUUAUUGGGCGUAAAGGGUUCGCAGGCGGCCUUGUAAGUCAGAUGUGAAAGACAGCGGCUUAACCGUUGUAAGCAUUUGAAACUGCAGGGCUUGAGUACAGGAGAGGAAAGCGGAAUUCCUAGUGUAGCGGUGAAAUGCGUAGAUAUUAGGAGGAACACCAGUGGCGAAGGCGGCUUUCUGGACUGAUACUGACGCUGAGGAACGAAAGCGUGGGAAGCAAACAGGAUUAGAUACCCCGGUAGUCCCUGA
This 275-nucleotide ribosomal RNA is filed under the name uncultured prokaryote. RNAcentral's name for it is "partial 16S ribosomal RNA". It matches the Rfam family "Bacterial small subunit ribosomal RNA", at positions 524 to 800 of the family's 1533-position model. The record is from RNAcentral.